ACUAAAAGAGAUGCCAGCUGUGCUUGUUUUCAAAGAUGAAACUUACUUUGUUUAUGAUGCUUUUAUUUUAGAUUCAGAGUCUACAUGUGCAGGUUUGUUACAUGGGUGUAUUGGAUGAUGCUGAGGUUUGGGGUACAAAUGAUCCCGUCACCCAGGUAAUAAGCAUAGUACCCAACAGGUAGUUUUUUUAGCCCUUGUCCUCCUCCCCAUCUCCCUAGUGUCUGUUAUUCCCAUCUUUAUGUCCGUAUGUACCCAAUGUUUACCGCCCACUUAUAAAUGAGAACUUGCGAUAUUUGGGAUAGUUUAUUUUCGAAUGAAAUUCAAAUUGAUCACUGUAUGCAAUCUCGUAGAAAAUUUGCUUUUAGCAUGCAGUGGACAUUGUGGCCCAGUAAUCAAUUUCUAGUUUUAUGUUUAUUUUCCUAAUUUAUAAAUUUAAAUCAAUAAAUUCUUUGAGAUUUGCAUUGCAUCACUUAUUUUAUGGGUUUGAUAACUUGAAAAUGUUUUGUUUAGCAAUGCAAGAAAAAGCAUACCUUUGAAGAGGUCAUUAAAAUCCAUUCUUCAACCAGAUGUAUUGGUAGGCUUUUAUAGACAUUUGCUUUACAUCACCACCUUUUUUAUGCAAUUGUAAUAAUUUUGAACAAUUACUUGAGAAUUACAUUUCUAAUUAGGAUGUAAUAUUUCUCUUAGAUAUUAUAUU
RNAcentral lists this long non-coding RNA (697 nucleotides) under Homo sapiens (human). RNAcentral's name for it is "non-protein coding lnc-CD226-7:1". The record is from RNAcentral. Lineage: Eukaryota; Metazoa; Chordata; Mammalia; Primates; Hominidae.